AGAGUUUGAUCCUGGCUCAGGAUGAACGCUAGCUACAGGCUUAACACAUGCAAGUCGAGGGGAAACGAUAGAGAAAGCUUGCUUUUUCUAGGCGUCGACCGGCGCACGGGUGAGUAACGCGUAUCCAACCUGCCCACCACUUGGGGAUAACCUUGCGAAAGUAAGACUAAUACCCAAUGACGUCUCUAGAAGACAUCUGAAAGGGAUUAAAGAUUUAUCGGUGAUGGAUGGGGAUGCGUCUGAUUAGCUUGUUGGCGGGGUAACGGCCCACCAAGGCAACGAUCAGUAGGGGUUCUGAGAGGAAGGUCCCCCACAUUGGAACUGAGACACGGUCCAAACUCCUACGGGAGGCAGCAGUGAGGAAUAUUGGUCAAUGGGCGAGAGCCUGAACCAGCCAAGUAGCGUGCAGGAUGACGGCCCUAUGGGUUGCAAACUGCUUUUAUAAGGGAAUAAAGUGAGUCUCGAGAGGCUUUUUGCAAGUACCUUAUGAAUAAGGACCGGCUAAUUCCGUGCCAGCAGCCGCGGUAAUACGGAAGGUCCGGGCGUUAUCCGGAUUAUAUUGGGUUUAAAGGGAGCGUAGGCCGGAGAUUAAGCGUGUUGUGAAAUGUAGAUGCUCAACGUCUGCACUGCAGCGCGAACUGGUUUCCUUGAGUACGCACAAAGUGGGCGGAAUUCGUGGUGUAGCGGUGAAAUGCUUAGAUAUCACGAAGAACUCCGAUUGCGAAGGCAGCUCACUGGAGCGCAACUGACGCUGAAGCUCGAAAGUGCGGGUAUCGAACAGGAUUAGAUACCCUGGUAGUCCGCACGGUAAACGAUGGAUGCCCGCUGUUGGUCUGAAUAGGUCAGCGGCC
RNAcentral lists this ribosomal RNA (851 nucleotides) under uncultured bacterium. RNAcentral's name for it is "bacterial SSU rRNA". It matches the Rfam family "Bacterial small subunit ribosomal RNA", at positions 8 to 848 of the family's 1533-position model. The record is from RNAcentral.